CUUUUGCCAAAAAUACUCUCUGAACUGCCUGAAACCUUUAGGAGGUUCUUCUCUUUUAUGUAAAUUGAACAGAAUGAAAAAAAAUGCGUGUUGACUUGCACUUCUAAUCAAGCCCAGAUUACACCAGUUUCUGGUGUCCUUCCAAUGUGAUGAUGUCAAGCUAAAUUACCUCUCAACAAAAAGCAUUUGAGCAUGGAAUACUUAGCAUUUGACUUCAUAGGAACAGCAGGUGAAAAUCCUAAUGAGGAACAAGCAAUGAGAAACUGAAAGGCUGCAGAUUUGAAUGAGGAUCAGUCAGAGUGCCACUUCGUAGUCUGAUUUCAGGGCCUGGUACCUAAAACUCAGUCCCACAGGUUCCUUCCAAAAAAGCUACAAAUUGCAAAUGUUGAGUGCUGCCUGCCUAACCUGCCAGUGCUUGGCAGCAGCAUCAAUCCUAUAAGGUAAUCUUUCUCAUGGAAGUAACAGCCAUUAGGUGACUUAACAAGGGAGUGCACGAGGUGGUCA
This is a long non-coding RNA of Vulpes vulpes (red fox), 504 nucleotides long. NCBI's taxonomy places the organism in Eukaryota, Metazoa, Chordata, Mammalia, Carnivora, Canidae. The record is from Ensembl.